UUAGAUUUUAGUUUAAAAAAAAAUAUUAACUUGUCAAGUUAAAGAAGCUAAAAAACAAAUCUAAU
This 65-nucleotide transfer RNA is filed under the name Ciconiphilus decimfasciatus. Its description in RNAcentral is "tRNA-Asp". Lineage: Eukaryota; Metazoa; Arthropoda; Insecta; Psocodea; Menoponidae. The record is from RNAcentral.